This 673-nucleotide ribosomal RNA is filed under the name Salmonella enterica subsp. enterica serovar Infantis. RNAcentral's name for it is "partial 23S ribosomal RNA". It matches the Rfam family "Bacterial large subunit ribosomal RNA", at positions 2130 to 2802 of the family's 2925-position model. Lineage: Bacteria; Pseudomonadati; Pseudomonadota; Gammaproteobacteria; Enterobacterales; Enterobacteriaceae. RNAcentral also lists the same sequence under 1 other name. The record is from RNAcentral.
CUUGAUGUGUAGGAUAGGUGGGAGGCUUUGAAGCGUGGACGCCAGUCUGCGUGGAGCCGACCUUGAAAUACCACCCUUUAAUGUUUGAUGUUCUAACGUGGAUCCGUAAUCCGGGUUGCGGACAGUGUCUGGUGGGUAGUUUGACUGGGGCGGUCUCCUCCUAAAGAGUAACGGAGGAGCACGAAGGUUGGCUAAUCCUGGUCGGACAUCAGGAGGUUAGUGCAAUGGCAUAAGCCAGCUUGACUGCGAGCGUGACGGCGCGAGCAGGUGCGAAAGCAGGUCAUAGUGAUCCGGUGGUUCUGAAUGGAAGGGCCAUCGCUCAACGGAUAAAAGGUACUCCGGGGAUAACAGGCUGAUACCGCCCAAGAGUUCAUAUCGACGGCGGUGUUUGGCACCUCGAUGUCGGCUCAUCACAUCCUGGGGCUGAAGUAGGUCCCAAGGGUAUGGCUGUUCGCCAUUUAAAGUGGUACGCGAGCUGGGUUUAGAACGUCGUGAGACAGUUCGGUCCCUAUCUGCCGUGGGCGCUGGAGAACUGAGGGGGGCUGCUCCUAGUACGAGAGGACCGGAGUGGACGCAUCACUGGUGUUCGGGUUGUCAUGCCAAUGGCACUGCCCGGUAGCUAAAUGCGGAAGAGAUAAGUGCUGAAAGCAUCUAAGCACGAAACUUGCCCCGA